AUCAUCCAUACAUCGAUUCAUUUGUCCUGAAAGAUUUCUUCUAAAGAUUGACUUUCAGGGCAUAUUUCCAACAAUUUCAUCACUUUAACCUCCACUCCAUGCACUCAUUGCUGCACCAUUCCAUGAACCCUUCAAUGAAUCAUUUCAGUACCACUCCAUUGAAUCAUUGCUGCACACACCACUCCAUUUACCCUCCUAUGCCAUUCAUCAUUACUUCAUUUUCACCUUUGAAUCUUUUCAGCACCACUUCAUUGAAUCAUUGCUACACACACCAUUCCAUUUUCUCCUACAAAUGCCAUGCACUUCCUCUAUAAAAUAAGGGGUGUGUAACAGCCAUAGGGCAGAUUUUGUUAGAGCAUUCACCACCAUUUCAACACAACCUUCAUCUAAACACAUCCAUUCAUCUUCACAUCCAUUCCUCCAUAGAAACAAACCUUCAAACACUCACCAACACCUUGUGCCCCAUAGCAAAGGAAGGGAAGGAAAGUGCUUGGACGUGCUUGCUAUUCACUUGGAUCGUUGGAGCGUUUAGGUGUUUUCUUUCUUUUGUUUUCAAUGUUUAAAUUCAUUUUCUUUCAUUUUGUUGUGAACAUGAGUGGCUAAACCCCUCUUGGCUAGGGGUGAUUUCAAAGCCAUGAUUAUGUGUGCAAUAUGAUUUGAUAAAUUUCAGUUUUGAAUUCUUGAAUCGUGAAUGCAAUUGGUUUAACUAUUUGAUUGAUAACUUAUUUGUAUUUGUUAAUUAAGGGUCGACACUUAAAUGGCAUGCAUAAAUCCGUUGCUAGAAUAUAAGGAAGUUUCACAUAAUCGUUACAAACGUUUAUUCACAUGUAGUGAAGGUCGCUUAUAAACGAUCGCGUUAAGUUCAAUUCCUAGCAUGAGUGACAUGAUGUCAUAGUUGCAAGAGCUCUAUCAAUGCUUAUGAUUUUCAUUAAACGUAAUGAUCUUUGAUUGUAUCUCUAUUAUGAUGUCAUGUAGGGAACUUUUGAAGAAUGUUUUGGGUUGUUCAUGCGAAAAUUAACUUAACACACAAAUUUAACCUUCUUUUGACAAUUGUAGUACAAGUAUAAGUAGAGAUCAUUCUGGACCGGGGAUUAGGAGGGCUUGCUAAUAACCUCUAAACUGACUCAAAAACAUAAAACUAAACUUAAAAACACUUAACAAGACUCACAAGACUCAAAGCAAACUUAAAAUACUCAAAACAGCUUAAAACAACCAAAUAAACAUAAACUAGACACUAGGAAUGACUUUGGACGAAAAUUGACUUUCACUUGAAUCAAAACACUUAAAAACACAAGCUAAAACAAAUUUGAAACACUUUGAAAGAAAAAACUAAAAGGGGGGGUUUUGAUUUGGAUGAAGUUGAAACAAAUAAACAAGUAUGAAAAUCUAGACAAAUUGUAAAAUUAUUUUGAGAAAUAAGAUGAUGGAUGGGAUAGCUAGAGGCUUUUUCUCCACACAUGACAUGUAUGCAAACAACUUGAUUUCCAAUUACCACUUCAUUGAAUUAUGAACGACAAUGCCCCAAAUUAACUGUGACAUCACUAGUUAACCCUCAGAUUUUCCUUGUUUUAUUGGAUUGGAUGACAUCAUUUGACAACCCAAAACAUUCUUUAAAAGUUCCCUACAUGACAUCAUAAUAGAGAUACAAUCAAAGAUCAUUGCGUUUAAUGAAAAUCUUAGGCAUUGACAAAGCACUUGCAACUAUAACAUCAUGUCACUCAUGCUAGGAAUUAAACUUAACACGAUCAUUUAUAAGCGACCUCCACUACAUGUGAAUAUAAGUUUGUAACGAUUAUGUGAAACUUCCUUAUAUUCUAGCAACGGAUUUAUGCAUGCCAAUUAAGUGUCGACCCUUAAUUAACAAAUACAAAUAAGUUAUCAAUCAAAUAGUUAAGCCAAUUGCAUUCACGAUUCAAAAGUUCAUAACUGGAAUUUAUCAAAUUAUAUUGCACACAUAAUCAUGGCUUUGAAAUCACCCCUAGCCAAGAGAGGUUUAGCCACUCAUAUUUAUAACAAAACGAAAGGAAAUGAAUUUAAACAUUAGAAACAAAAGAAAGAAAACAUCUAAACGCUCCAACGAUCCAAGUUCGACAGCAAGCACGUCCAAGCACUUUCCUUCCCUUCCUUUGCUAUGGGGCACAAGGUGUUGGUGAGUGUUUGAAGGUUUGUUUGUAUGGAGGAAUGGAUGUGAAGAUGAAUGGAUGUGUUUGGAUGAAGGUUAUGUUGAAAUGGGAGUGAAUGAUCUCACAAAGUAUGAACUAAAUUUAUGUUACACACACUUCCUUUUAUAGAGGAAGUGCAUGGCAAUGGAG
This 2312-nucleotide long non-coding RNA is filed under the name Malus domestica (apple). RNAcentral's name for it is "long non-coding RNA (MDOM_LNC020999)". The record is from RNAcentral. Lineage: Eukaryota; Viridiplantae; Streptophyta; Magnoliopsida; Rosales; Rosaceae.